AGUGGCGAAUAUUGGACAAUGGGCGCAAGCCUGAUCCAGCAAUGCCGCGUGUGUGAAGAAGGUUUUCGGAUUGUAAAGCACUUUCAGCGGGGACGAUGAUGACGGUACCCGCANAAGAAGCCCCGGCUAACUUCGUGCCAGCAGCCGCGGUAAUACGAAGGGGGCAAGCGUUGCUCGGAAUGACUGGGCGUAAAGGGCGCGUAGGCGGUUGACACAGUCANAUGUGAAAUUCCCGGGCUUAACCUGGGGGCUGNAUUUGAUACGUGGCGACUAGAGUGUGAGAGAGGGUUGUGGAAUUCCCAGUGUANAGGUGAAAUUCGUAGAUAUUG
Molecule: ribosomal RNA, 329 nt
Filed under: Komagataeibacter intermedius
Lineage: Bacteria; Pseudomonadati; Pseudomonadota; Alphaproteobacteria; Acetobacterales; Acetobacteraceae
Description: bacterial SSU rRNA
Rfam family: Bacterial small subunit ribosomal RNA
Source: RNAcentral